RNAcentral lists this ribosomal RNA (509 nucleotides) under uncultured bacterium. RNAcentral's name for it is "bacterial SSU rRNA". It matches the Rfam family "Bacterial small subunit ribosomal RNA", at positions 36 to 518 of the family's 1533-position model. The record is from RNAcentral.
CUGGCGGCGUGCCUAAUACAUGCAAGUCGAACGGUCUUUCUAUGGAAGCUUGCUUCCACUGAGAAGAUAGUGGCGAACGGGUGAGUAACACGUGGGUAACCUGCCCAUAAGAGGGGGAUAACAUCCGGAAACGGGUGCUAAUACCGCAUAGUUUUCUUGAUCGCAUGAUUGAGAAAGGAAAGACGGCCUUUGUGCUGUCGCUUAUGGAUGGACCCGCGGCGUAUUAGUUAGUUGGUGAGGUAACGGCUCACCAAGACGAUGAUACGUAGCCGACCUGAGAGGGUGAUCGGCCACAUUGGGACUGAGACACGGCCCAAACUCCUACGGGAGGCAGCAGUAGGGAAUCUUCCGCAAUGGACGAAAGUCUGACGGAGCAACGCCGCGUGAGUGAAAGAAGGUUUUCGGAUCGUAAAACUCUGUUGUCAGAGAAGAACAAGUUGGAGAGUAACUGCUCCAGCCUUGACGGUAUCUGACCAGAAAGCCACGGCUAACUACGUGCCAGCCGCCGC